This 253-nucleotide ribosomal RNA is filed under the name uncultured bacterium. Its description in RNAcentral is "partial 16S ribosomal RNA". It matches the Rfam family "Bacterial small subunit ribosomal RNA", at positions 524 to 776 of the family's 1533-position model. The record is from RNAcentral.
UACAGGGGGUGCAAACGUUGCUCGGAAUUACUGGGCGUAAAGCGCGCGCAGGCGGUCUUCCAAGUCAGUGGUGAAAGCCCGGAGCUCAACUCCGGAACUGCCAUUGAAACUGUGAGACUGGAGUACGAGAGAGGUGAGUGGAAUUCCCAGUGUAGAGGUGAAAUUCGUAGAUAUUGGGAAGAACACCGGUGGCGAAGGCGGCUCACUGGCUCGUAACUGACGCUCAGGCGCGACAGCGUGGGGAUCAAACAGG